CAGCCCUUGACAUGGGACGUAUGGGAAGCAGAGACGCUUCUCUUCAGUUCGGCUGGCGUCCACACAGGUGCUGCAUGGCUGUCGUCAGCUCGUGUCGUGAGAUGUUGGGUUAAGUCCCGCAACGAGCGCAACCCUCAUCUUCAGUUGCCAUCGGGUAAGGCUGGGCACUCUGGAGAAACUGCCGGUGACAAGCCGGAGGAAGGCGGGGAUGACGUCAAGUCCUCAUGGCCCUUACGGGCUGGGCUACACACGUGCUACAAUGGCGGUGACAGCGGGCGGCGACGGUGCGAGCCGAAGCCAAUCCCGAAAAGCCGUCUCAGUUCGGAUUGCACUCUGCAACUCGAGUGCAUGAAGUUGGAAUCGCUAGUAAUCGCGGAUCAGCAUGCCGCGGUGAAUACGUUCCC
Molecule: ribosomal RNA, 404 nt
Filed under: uncultured soil bacterium
Lineage: Bacteria
Description: bacterial SSU rRNA
Rfam family: Bacterial small subunit ribosomal RNA
Source: RNAcentral